UGCGGGAACCGCGAUAGGGACCCCGAGUGCCAGCAUCAAAUGUUGGCUGUCCAGAUGAUUAAAAAUCAUUUGUUAGCAAGGGCCGGGCAAGACCGGUGCCAGCCGCCGCGGUAACACCGGCGGCCCGAGUGGUAGCCGUUUUUAUUGGGUCUAAAGGGUCCGUAGCCGGCCUGAUAAGUCCUUUGGGAAAUCUGGCAGCUUAACUGUCAGGCUUCUAAGGGAUACUGUCAGGCUUGGGACCGGAAGAGGUAAGGGGUACUCCAGGGGUAGGAGUGAAAUCUUGUAAUCCCUGGGGGACCAUCUGUGGCGAAGGCGCCUUACCAGAACGGGUCCGACGGUGAGGGACGAAAGCUAGGGGAGCAAACCGGAUUAGAUACCCGGGUAGUCCUAGCUGUAAACGAUGCUCGCUAGGUGUCAGACACGGUGCGACCGUGUUUGGUGCCGCAGGGAAGCCGUUAAGCGAGCCACCUGGGAAGUACGGUCGCAAGGCUGAAACUUAAAGGAAUUGGCGGGGGAGCACUACAACGGGUGGAGCCUGCGGUUUAAUUGAUUCCCAACGCCCGGAAA
RNAcentral lists this ribosomal RNA (567 nucleotides) under uncultured Methanosarcinales archaeon. RNAcentral describes it as "bacterial SSU rRNA". It matches the Rfam family "Archaeal small subunit ribosomal RNA", at positions 356 to 924 of the family's 1478-position model. Lineage: Archaea; Methanobacteriati; Methanobacteriota; Methanomicrobia; Methanosarcinales. The record is from RNAcentral.